RNAcentral lists this ribosomal RNA (534 nucleotides) under uncultured bacterium. Its description in RNAcentral is "partial 16S ribosomal RNA". It matches the Rfam family "Bacterial small subunit ribosomal RNA", at positions 899 to 1397 of the family's 1533-position model. The record is from RNAcentral.
ACUCAAAGGAAUUGACGGGGACUUGCACAAGUAGUGGAUUAUGCGGUUUAAUUCGAUGAUAAACGAAAAACCUUACCAAGGUUAGAAAUCUACGUGAAGCAUUUUGGAAACAAGAUGCGCCCGCAAGGGCUCGUAGACAGGUGAUGCAUGGCCGUCGUCAGUUCGUGAUUUGAAUUGUUCCCUUAAGUGGGGUAACGAACGCAACCCUCGUUGCCAGUUACAAGUGUCUGGCGAGACUGCCCCCGUUUGUGGGCAUAAGCCGAAUUAACUUGAAAUCGGCUUGUGAACAGAAACGGGGGAGGAAGGCGAGGAUGACGCCAGGUCAGCAUGUCCCUCUGAUACCUUGGGCCACACGCAUAAUACAAUCGCCGCUACAACGGGUCGCGACGCCGCAAGGCUGAGCUAAUCCUUAUAAAAGCGGCGCCAGUUCGGAUUGGGGGCUGCAACUCGACCCCAUGAAGCCGGAAUUACUAGUAAUCGCGGGUCAGCUAUACCGCGGUGAAUACGUUCUCAAGUCUUGUACACACCGCCCGU